This 77-nucleotide non-coding RNA is filed under the name Roseivivax sediminis. The record is from RNAcentral. Lineage: Bacteria; Pseudomonadati; Pseudomonadota; Alphaproteobacteria; Rhodobacterales; Roseobacteraceae.
UUGAGCCGUGUGCGGGGUAACUCGCAAGCACGGUUCUGAGGGGGCGGGGCAGCGGUAACGCUGCCCUGCUACCCGAC